RNAcentral lists this unclassified non-coding RNA (586 nucleotides) under Hevea brasiliensis (rubber tree). The record is from RNAcentral. Lineage: Eukaryota; Viridiplantae; Streptophyta; Magnoliopsida; Malpighiales; Euphorbiaceae.
AAAAAGUGUACAUGGGGGCACAAAUUUUUGUGUUGCUCAUGGUGGUGGAAAGAGGUGUGUGGUGCCAGGAUGCACAAAAAGUGCUCGUGGGCGCACUGAUUGCUGUGUCAGACAUGGCGGAGGCAAGCGAUGCAAAUUUGAGAACUGUGGCAAGAGUGCCCAAGGGAGCACAGACUUCUGCAAAGCCCAUGGAGGUGGAAAACGAUGCACAUGGGUAGAAGGCAAGUGUGAAAAAUUUGCGAGGGGUAAGAGUGGUUUAUGUGCUGCUCAUAGUAGCAUGAUCCAAGAUCGAGAAACAAACAAGGGAAGCCUGAUCGGACCAGGACUUUUCCAUGGUCUUGUGUCUGCUUCUGCUGCGUCUACAGUUGGAGAUAGCUUGGACAACUAUAAUUCAUCUUCUGGAAUCAGUUUCAUAUGUGAUUCGACUGAUUCAGCGGAGAAGCCUAGUAAGCGACAUCAGCAGCUUAUACCUUCACAGGUAUUGGUCCCAUCUUCCAUGAGGUCAUCAGCAUCAUAUUCUAGUUUCGUGAGUACAGAGAAGGGAGAGGGAGAGGAAGAUGGGAAUGGAUAUUGUAUUGGCACAAAA